CUGGAGCGCUUAGAAGUGAGAAUGCCGGUAUGAGUAGCGAAAGACAGGUGAGAAUCCUGUCCACCGAAUGACUAAGGUUUCCUGGGGAAGGCUCGUCCGCCCAGGGUUAGUCGGGACCUAAGCCGAGGCCGACAGGCGUAGGCGAUGGAUAACAGGUUGAUAUUCCUGUACCCGUUGUUUUUGUUUGAGCAAUGGAGGGACGCAGGAGGCUAAGGAAUGCAGACGAUCGGAAAUGUCUGUCCAAGCAGUAAGUCUGAAGAGGAGUCAAAUGCUUCUUUUCUUAAGGACAAGCUGUGAUGGGGAGGGAAAUAAUAGUACCGAAGUUCCUGAUGUCACACUGCCGAGAAAAGCUUCUAGUGAGAAAACAGCGGCCCGUACCGCAAACCGACACAGGUAGUCGAGGAGAGAAUCCUAAGGUGAGCGAGAGAACUCUCGUUAAGGAACUCGGCAAAAUGACCCCGUAACUUCGGGAGAAGGGGUGCUGAUCAUACGAUCAGCCGCAGUGAAUAGGCCCAAGCGACUGUUUAUCAAAAACACAGGUCUCUGCAAAAUCGUAAGAUGAAGUAUAGGGGCUGACGCCUGCCCGGUGC
RNAcentral lists this ribosomal RNA (590 nucleotides) under Enterococcus faecium. Its description in RNAcentral is "partial 23S ribosomal RNA". It matches the Rfam family "Bacterial large subunit ribosomal RNA", at positions 1273 to 1869 of the family's 2925-position model. Lineage: Bacteria; Bacillati; Bacillota; Bacilli; Lactobacillales; Enterococcaceae. The record is from RNAcentral.